Molecule: long non-coding RNA, 2156 nt
Organism: Corvus hawaiiensis (hawaiian crow)
Lineage: Eukaryota; Metazoa; Chordata; Aves; Passeriformes; Corvidae
Exons: 2
Source: RefSeq, a predicted model, not a curated record
UCCUAGCACAUCCUCAAGGGUUUCCUCCAGCCGUGAUUAAGUUUCUCAGGACUCUUGGGAGAUGGUGACGGUUUAGGAAGAUUCUCAGCAGUGGGAGAGCAAACCCACAGGCAGGAUGGAGCCUGGAGUUCAAAGCACAGUCCCCGGGUGAGGGGCAGUGCUGGGGUCACCAUCCCAAGCCCCACCUGAGGGAUGUUUGGAUCCAGGACUCCCCUCAGGCUGCCCAUCCUGGGGAGAACUGCCCCACUAAGGUCACCCCAUGACACAAGGGAAGGCUCCACCAGCAGAAAAAAGCCUGAGAGAAAAGCCUGAGAUUUAUCUAUUUGUGUGUUUGUUAGGCCAGGAGGAGCUGGGGGAGGCCCAGCUCUGCCCCUCUUAGCCCCUAUUUCCCCUCCUGUGCACAGGGGAAAGGGCCCAAAUCCAGGCUCCCUUCCCUGCUCCCCUUGGCUUGUGGCUGCCACAGGACCACAGGGAACCAAGGCUGACGGCACAAAGUGGGAUGACUUCAGCAGUGGUCAUAGGAAAGGGAAAAAAGGAAAAACAAGGUGCAAAAUCCCAACCUUCUAUUUUUCAGCAUCCAAACUCUUACCACCGGCAUGAGUUAGCGAAAUAAAAGAAAUGCUUUCCUACCCUUCCAAGAAAACCCAGGAGAUGGCAAAUUUUUUUUAAGAGCCUGGAUAAUAGAGCUGGCUGCUGAUGACUUUGGAAAGCCAGCCAAAACCUAACGCUUCCGCCCGAGGAUUUGUCUCUCCCGGCAGCAUUAAGCAGCCCCCGCCCUGGGAAGCAGCUUCCUGGGAUGCUGCGCCGGCCUCGCACCCUCCCCCGCAGCUGUGGGAGGGCAGUGGGGAUGCAGGAUGGGGCCGGCACGGCCAGCACGGAGGGGAGGGCUCUGUGUGACCCUGCACUGCCUGGGUGCCCCCAGCAUGACAGAAUUCUUCCUUCCCAUCACCGUUUUAACUCGCCUGCCUACACCAAGCACGGAAUCAGCCCACCCUGCGAAGGGAUGGAAGAGCAAACGGCCCUGGCUGCCCCUGCAGGGACUGGGUGCUGCUGUUUGGGCAGAGCCAGCUCCUGCUCCAGCAGGGGAGACUCGGGAAUGGCAGUUCAGGAUCCUUCCCUUGGGCUGACUGAGAGUUUACAGGCUCGCUGGCAAGCCAAGGUUGCAAAUAGAGACCUGAAGAACAGGGAACCCUCAGCUUUGUGGGGAGGAGGGGAUGCAGGUGGGAAAAAAACCAGGUGAAAUGUCUUCCAGGAAUUUUUCUUCAUCUCAUAAAAAUGCACAUUAAAAAAAGCCAACAAACGAAUCCAAACCACAGGGUUCAACCAGACUGACACCUCUCCCAGAGGAGCUGUUUGAAGCAGCCCUGGCCUGCACUGAAAUCACCUGCCCAGCUCCAGCAGGGGCUGAGGCUCAGGUUUAUUUAAUUGCCACUUCAGAGAGGGGCACUGGCCACAAAGGCAGCUCCCCCACGUCUCCAGGCACAGCCCAGCUGACCAGCAAAGCCACCUCCUUGUACAACACCUUGUCUAGGGCUGCUGCACUCAGAAAGGUCCUGAGCAGCAGAAAGCUGGUCCAUUAUUAUGUGCUGGCAUAGAAAUAUUGACCACAUGUUAAAGCUUGAAGUAGGUCAGGCAGCCAUCUGGUCUUGCUGACAGACCUCCGUGGCCACGGUUAAAGAUUCUCAUUUAUAAAAGCUUCACAGCUUGGAUCAAAUUUGAAAGACCAACCAUAAACACGCUGCAGCCUCUGCUCCAGCUUCAGGAGUUAGAAAACCCACAGUUUGACGUUUAUUGGCUCCUGUUUUAAAAACAGCUGAAGCUUAGUCUAUUUCUACUAAUUAAAGCCCGUCAUUUCCCAAGUGUGAUUGUCUCGGCCUCCUGCCCGAGGUGUCAGUGGUGGGGGCAGCCAGGGAGCCCCUCCCUCACCCAGCACUGAAUCCAGCACAUAAAAUAACCUGGAAGCUUUGCAGCAGAUGAAUGAAAUAAAGAGACUGCCCCCCACUUUUUUUUUUCCAAACAGUUCACAUUUAUUGAUAACAAUAAAAAAAUCUUUUAAAGACUAUCUGUAUUUUAUUACCAAGAAUGAGGUAUUAUGUAUACAAAACAUUUACAGAAUUUGAUAUGCAGUUCAUGAGGAGGGACAGGGAAGUGAAGGA